Non-coding RNA from Acanthosepion pharaonis, 91 nucleotides. Lineage: Eukaryota; Metazoa; Mollusca; Cephalopoda; Sepiida; Sepiidae. The record is from the annotation of a GenBank genome assembly.
UAUUGAAACCCUGGUUCCCAUAUGAUCACCGAUGUUAAGCAACCUUGGGCCUGGUCAGUACCUAGAUGGGUGACUAUUUGGGAAUACCGGG